CGCGACCUAUUCCCUUAUCAGAGUAAAUUUUAUAAAUUUCAAAGCAUAUGCCGCGGUUGGGCGCUGAACCGCGGCAUAUAAGUUAAAAAAAUUUUCAAAAAUGCCAUUUUGGGUAAUUUUUUUUAAAUGAAUAGGUCGCGGUUCAGUGUAGAACCGCGGCAUAAAGGGGGAAUAUGCCGCGGUUAAGUGUAGAACCGCGGCAGAUUCCCUUCUGAAGGUUAAAAAACAAAAGCUCUGAACAGUUUUCUUCUUCACGCGAACCUGAAAACCUUNGUCCUCAUCUCCGCCGCGAUCGAGUUGCGANUUUCUGCCGUCAUUGUGCUUGCAUUGCUCCGACCGCCAUUCUUCUCCACCGNCCUUGCUUCUCUGNCGCACCGUUGCUUCUNUGUUGCGNCGUUCAUCUCCUGCGAGCCAACCUGGUUUGAUUUCUCNCCCUNCUUAUGCUUUUAUGCGAUUCCUUUUAAAUUUUAUUGUGCUUUUGUUGUUUUAUAUGCUUGUGAUCCUCAAAUUAAGGUCGGUGAUAUAUAUGCUUUUGUUGUUUUAUGCGAUUCCUUGAUUUCUCGCAUUGUCUAGGAAGUUUUGUUUUUGGGGCUUGUGGAAAGGAAUUGAGCGAAAACCACAUUUUGGGGGUCAAUUUGAAUAGUCUUGGUAUUAGUCAAAUAUUUGUUUGGUAUUAGUGAAAAAUUUGUUAGAGAUUAUAAGAAAGUUUUGCUAAAGAGGACUGUUUAUAAAGGCAUUAGUAAUCGGGUCUUGUUCAAUUGAAUAAAAACAUAGUGAUUAAUGACGACUGUUUAUAANN
This 799-nucleotide long non-coding RNA is filed under the name Vigna radiata. RNAcentral describes it as "long non-coding RNA (VRAD_LNC010559)". The record is from RNAcentral. Lineage: Eukaryota; Viridiplantae; Streptophyta; Magnoliopsida; Fabales; Fabaceae.